RNAcentral lists this ribosomal RNA (497 nucleotides) under uncultured bacterium. Its description in RNAcentral is "partial 16S ribosomal RNA". It matches the Rfam family "Bacterial small subunit ribosomal RNA", at positions 28 to 507 of the family's 1533-position model. The record is from RNAcentral.
GAUGAACGCUGGCGGCGUGCCUAAUACAUGCCAGUCGAGCGAACAGACGAGGAGCUUGCUCCUCUGACGUUAGCGGCGGACGGGUGAGUAACACGUGGAUAACCUACCUAUAAGACUGGGAUAACUUCGGGAAACCGGAGCUAAUACCGGAUAAUAUAUUGAACCGCAUGGUUCAAUAGUGAAAGACGGUUUUGCUGUCACUUAUAGAUGGAUCCGCGGCGCAUUAGCUAGUUGGUAUGGUAACGGCUUACCAAGGCAACGAUGCGUAGCCGACCUGAGAGGGUGAUCGGCCACACUGGAAGUGAGCCACGGUACAGGCUCCUAGGGGAGGCAGAGGUAGGGAAUCGUGCGCAAUGGGCGAAAGCCUGACGGAGCAACGCCGCGUGAGUGAUGAAGGUCUUCGGAUCGUAAAACUCUGUUAUUAGUGAAGAACAAAUGUGUAAGUAACUAUGCACGUCUUGACGGUACCUAAUCAGAAAGCCACGGCUAACUACGUG